GCGGGCGUGGCGAAAUCGGUAGACGCACGAGACUUAAAAUCUUGCGGGGCAACCCGUGCCGGUUCGAGUCCGGCCGUCCGCACCA
Molecule: transfer RNA, 85 nt
Filed under: Phreatobacter cathodiphilus
Lineage: Bacteria; Pseudomonadati; Pseudomonadota; Alphaproteobacteria; Hyphomicrobiales; Phreatobacteraceae
Also listed under: 2 other names
Description: tRNA-Leu
Rfam family: tRNA
About the family: Transfer RNA (tRNA) molecules are approximately 80 nucleotides in length. Their secondary structure includes four short double-helical elements and three loops (D, anti-codon, and T loops).
Source: RNAcentral